CCUAGUAACGGCGAGUGAAGCGGCAACAGCUCAAAUUUGAAAUCUGGCUCUUUUAGAGUCCGAGUUGUAAUUUGCAGAGGGCGCUUUGGCUUUGGCAGCGGUCCAAGUUCCUUGGAACAGGACGUCACAGAGGGUGAGAAUCCCGUACGUGGUCGCUGGCUAUUGCCGUGUAAAGCCCCUUCGACGAGUCGAGUUGUUUGGGAAUGCAGCUCUAAAUGGGAGGUACAUUUCUUCUAAAGCUAAAUAUUGGCCAGAGACCGAUAGCGCACAAGUAGAGUGAUCGAAAGAUGAAAAGCACUUUGGAAAGAGAGUCAAACAGCACGUGAAAUUGUUGAAAGGGAAGCGCUUGCAGCCAGACUUGCUUACAGUUGCUCAUCCGGGUUUCUACCCGGUGCACUCUUCUGUAGGCAGGCCAGCAUCAGUUUGGGCGGUAGGAUAAAGGUCUCUGUCACGUACCUCCUUUCGGGGAGGCCUUAUAGGGGAGACGACAUACUACCAGCCUGGACUGAGGUCCGCGCAUCUGCUAGGAUGCUGGCGUAAUGGCUGUAAGCGGCCCGUCUUGAAACACGGACCAAGGAGUCUAACAUCUAUGCGAGUGUUUGGGUGUCAAGCCCGAGCGCGUAAUGAAAGUGAACGGAGGUGGGAACCCGCAAGGGUGCACCAUCGACCGAUCCUGAUGUCUUCGGAAGGAUUUGAGUAAGAGCAUGGCUGUUGGGACCCGAAAGAUGGUGAACUAUGCUUGAAUAGGGUGAAGCCAGAGGAAACUCUGGUGGAGGCUCGCAGCGGUUCUGACGUGCAAAUCGAUCGUCAAA
Molecule: ribosomal RNA, 812 nt
Filed under: Alternaria sp.
Lineage: Eukaryota; Fungi; Ascomycota; Dothideomycetes; Pleosporales; Pleosporaceae
Description: partial large subunit ribosomal RNA
Rfam family: Eukaryotic large subunit ribosomal RNA
Source: RNAcentral